GCAUAUAGUUAGCUCAGUAUACCAAACGCGUACACUCAAUCACAUCAGAAAGCCAUAUGCAUCAGUUGUGGUUAAUAUAUUUAGUUGUCACUCCGUAUGCCACUUCGGUCAAUGACAAGUCAUAACAACCAGCGGUCUUUCCUCCAACAAGUAUAUUCUCUUAAUGUGGACAUUGGCAAUUCGAUGGUGUCAUCCUCACGGAUCAUAGCACCAAACCCCAAGUCUGUUUAAUCCCAUAAUCCCACUCA
This 248-nucleotide long non-coding RNA is filed under the name Brassica napus (rape). RNAcentral's name for it is "long non-coding RNA (BNAP_LNC025027)". Lineage: Eukaryota; Viridiplantae; Streptophyta; Magnoliopsida; Brassicales; Brassicaceae. The record is from RNAcentral.